Molecule: long non-coding RNA, 69 nt
Filed under: Pan troglodytes (chimpanzee)
Lineage: Eukaryota; Metazoa; Chordata; Mammalia; Primates; Hominidae
Description: lincRNA
Source: RNAcentral
GACUGCAGUCCUUAGCAGAGGACUCUGCCAAGCUGUGCCAGGACUCCUGACCUGCAGAAAUUGUGAGCU